GACGGUACCUGCAGAAGAAGGAGCGGCCAACUACGUGCCAGCAGCCGCGGUGACACGUAGGCUCCAAGCGUUGUCCGGAUUUAUUGGGCGUAAAGAGCUCGUAGGCGGUUCAGCAAGUCGGGUGUGAAAACUCUGGGCUCAACCCAGAGCCUGCACCCGAAACUGCUGUGACUAGAGUUCGGUAGGGGAGUGGGGAAUUCCUAGUGUAGCGGUGAAAUGCGCAGAUAUUAGGAGGAACACCGAUGGCGAAGGCACCACUCUGGGCCGAAACUGACGCUGAGGAGCGAAAGCGUGGGUAGCAAACAGGAUUAGAUACCCUGGUAGUCCACGCCGUAAACGAUGGGCACUAGGUGUGGGUCUCUAACCAACGAGAUCCGCGCCGUCGCUAACGCAUUAAGUGCCCCGCCUGGGGAGUACGGUCGCAAGACUAAAACUC
This 436-nucleotide ribosomal RNA is filed under the name uncultured bacterium. RNAcentral describes it as "bacterial SSU rRNA". It matches the Rfam family "Bacterial small subunit ribosomal RNA", at positions 471 to 902 of the family's 1533-position model. The record is from RNAcentral.